This 253-nucleotide ribosomal RNA is filed under the name uncultured microorganism. RNAcentral describes it as "partial 16S ribosomal RNA". It matches the Rfam family "Bacterial small subunit ribosomal RNA", at positions 524 to 776 of the family's 1533-position model. The record is from RNAcentral.
UACGUAGGGUGCGAGCGUUAAUCGGAUUUACUGGGCGUAAAGCGUGCGCAGGCGGUUCGGUAAGACAGAUGUGAAAUCCCUGGGCUCAACUUAGGAAUUGCGCUUGUGACUGGCGGGCUCGAGUACGGUAGAGGGGGGUGGAAUUCCUGGUGUAGCAGUGAAAUGCGUAGAGAUCAGGAGGAACACCGAUGGCGAAGGCAGCCCCCUGGGACUGUACUGACGCUCAUGCACGAAAGCGUGGGGAGCAAACAGG